Molecule: non-coding RNA, 97 nt
Organism: Mycena galericulata
Lineage: Eukaryota; Fungi; Basidiomycota; Agaricomycetes; Agaricales; Mycenaceae
Source: the annotation of a GenBank genome assembly
GGUCCGGUGGCGGAAGGUCCGCACCCGCAAUCUUUCAUUUAGUGGUGAUAUCUUGAUAAUGCGGCGGGAGACGCUCGUUCGACUCGAGCCUGGGCCU